This 718-nucleotide long non-coding RNA is filed under the name Homo sapiens (human). RNAcentral describes it as "HSALNT0049144". The record is from RNAcentral. Lineage: Eukaryota; Metazoa; Chordata; Mammalia; Primates; Hominidae.
GGUAGAUCUGACGGGUGGAACAAGGAUGAGUUGUUCAGAGUCAAGUCUGCAAGGGUGAGCCAGCAGAAUGGGGGUGAGGUCCCAACACUGCAAUGACCUGGGCAGGGCACUUCACCUGACCGAACCCCAGGUAGAGGGAGAAUAUCACCUGCCUCUCGUGUUUCACUGCAAUGUGGUGAGGACCGAAUGAGAGAAGUCUGCAAAUGUACGAAGCACUCUCAUUAACAAGGUGGAUGAUCAGAUUGGGUAAUUUUGUUUCAGAUCAAAUGCCAGAUGUGGCAAAAGACUGAUUUUCAUCGUUCUGAAAAUGACACUGAUGAUGAGCUGCCAAAAUAUUUUGAGCUCUGACUGCAUCAUCGAAAUAAGUGCCUGGCGUCCGUCCCCAGGUGACUACUUUGAAAGGAUGCAUUCUUCACAUGCAACCCCUUAAUUGUCUCGUGGCUCUAACCAGAAGGCUUCUAGGCCCCUGUUCCUCAAAAUGGGGUCCCAGGAACAGCAGUCUAGGCCACACCCGGGAGCUUGUUGGCAAUGCAGGCUCUCCCACCCCAGACCGGCAGAGCAGAUUCUGCAUUUUCACAAGUCCCCAGGGGUGCCUGGGCCAUUACACUUUGAGAGCGCCGCAUGCAACCCAGCUCCCAGGCCGGUCACUAAGUGGCAAAACUCCAGGGCACGUGCCAGCCGGGCUGGAUCCUGCCUUACCUUGGGGAAGGCGUCGGGC